UGAAGGCUACCCGUGUAUACAUGUGUGAACCAUUUCUUGUGUUGGAAAAACAGGAGACCUGAAGAGCUCUUGAUGCUUUUGGUUUGCCUCAUCCAUUAUGUCAGCAAAGAACAGGAGUGGGCAGGAAACAUGCGCUGUUGAAAACAUGGCCAACCAACUGGAGCACCCACAAGGCUCUUGUGAAGGAAGUCCACAAGCCUUUGUGCUUCAGUUUGGAGACACCCCCGGCUGGUAGUGCUGCUGAAACUGGUGGAGGC
Molecule: long non-coding RNA, 257 nt
Organism: Alosa alosa (allis shad)
Lineage: Eukaryota; Metazoa; Chordata; Actinopteri; Clupeiformes; Clupeidae
Exons: 3
Source: RefSeq, a predicted model, not a curated record